This is a long non-coding RNA of Capsicum annuum, 425 nucleotides long. RefSeq lists it as uncharacterized. The record is from RefSeq and is a predicted model, not a curated record. The transcript is spliced from 2 exons. NCBI's taxonomy places the organism in Eukaryota, Viridiplantae, Streptophyta, Magnoliopsida, Solanales, Solanaceae.
CCAUUUCCUCUCAAACAAAAAGCCUAACCUCUCUUCCAAAGAUCAAGAAAUCAAGCCUUAAGUCCAAGAUUUCCAAGGAACAAAUCAAGAUCCGAGUUCUACUCUUUAAACUAAGUAAUUUAAGGAUUCUGAGACACAGUCCUGGGGUCCCGUUAAGCAAUAGAUUGACUUGUCAGAAGUUUGUAACUGGUGAGCUUCCCUUACUUCGGAAGGCCUGAUUAUGAAACUUGUUAUUGUUAUUUUAUUUUGAUUCAUGGCCCGACUGGUUUUUUUUGUCCCAGAUUCCAGACAGAAGUCAAUUUUAGAUGUAUUAGAGAUUUCGCAGAUCGAUGUUAGAUGUUGUUAGAGGUUUAUGGAGUCCAUUCCAGAUUGCUCAAUCGAAUUGUGAUAUUGACCAUGAUUCCGUAUUGUUUUAAUAUUUCGCA